This 285-nucleotide ribosomal RNA is filed under the name uncultured bacterium. RNAcentral's name for it is "partial 16S ribosomal RNA". It matches the Rfam family "Bacterial small subunit ribosomal RNA", at positions 28 to 334 of the family's 1533-position model. The record is from RNAcentral.
GAUGAACGCUGGCGGCAUGGCUAAGGCAUGCAAGUCGAACGCACACUUCGGUGUGAGUGGCAGACGGGUGAGUAACACACUGGUAACCUACCUCUGAGUUGUGAAUAGCCUCGAGAAAUCGAGAGUAAUACACAAUGGUCUCUAAUUUAUUAGAGUAAAGUUUUAACGCUCAGAGAGGGGCCUAUGGUUUAUCAGCUUGUUGGUGAGGUAAAAGCUCACCAAGGCAAUGACGAAUAGCGGGCGUGAGAGCGCGACCCGCCUCACGGGGACUGAAACACUGCCCCG